UACGGAGGGGGCUAGCGUUGUUCGGAAUUACUGGGCGUAAAGCGCACGUAGGCGGGCUGGACAGUCAGGGGUGAAAUCCCGGGGCUCAACCCCGGAACUGCCUUUGAAACUCCCAGUCUUGAGGUCGCGAGAGGUGAGUGGAAUUCCGAGUGUAGAGGUGAAAUUCGUAGAUAUUCGGAGGAACACCAGUGGCGAAGGCGGCUCACUGGCGCGACACUGACGCUGAGGUGCGAAAGCGUGGGGAGCAAACAGG
This 253-nucleotide ribosomal RNA is filed under the name uncultured bacterium. RNAcentral describes it as "partial 16S ribosomal RNA". It matches the Rfam family "Bacterial small subunit ribosomal RNA", at positions 524 to 776 of the family's 1533-position model. The record is from RNAcentral.